RNAcentral lists this ribosomal RNA (559 nucleotides) under uncultured bacterium. RNAcentral describes it as "partial 16S ribosomal RNA". It matches the Rfam family "Bacterial small subunit ribosomal RNA", at positions 355 to 914 of the family's 1533-position model. The record is from RNAcentral.
UGAGGAAUAUUGGUCAAUGGGCGAGAGCCUGAACCAGCCAAGUCGCGUGAAGGAAGACUGCCUUAUGGGUUGUAAACUUCUUUUAUACAGGAAUAAAAAGGCUUACGUGUAGGCCAUUGCAAGUACUGUAUGAAUAAGCAUCGGCUAACUCCGUGCCAGCAGCCGCGGUAAUACGGAGGAUGCGAGCGUUAUCCGGAUUUAUUGGGUUUAAAGGGUGCGCAGGCGGGCUUUUAAGUCAGCGGUGAAAUCUGGACGCUUAACGUCCAAACUGCCGUUGAAACUGGGAGUCUUGAGUAUGGAUGAAGUAGGCGGAAUUCGUUGUGUAGCGGUGACAUGCAUAGAUAUAACGAGGAACUCCGAUUGCGUAGGCAGCUUACUAAGCCAUAACUGACGCUCAUGCACGAAAGCGUGGGGAUCAAACAGGAUUAGAUACCCUGGUAGUCCACGCCGUAAACGAUGAUUACUAGUUGUAUGCGAUAUGAUAGUAUGUGACUAAGCGAAAGCGAUAAGUAAUCCACCUGGGGAGUACGCCGCAACGGUGAAACUUAAAUGAAUUGAC